ACUACUACGAAACUUCAUCUCCCCCUUUCUUCUCUAUCUCUCUCACCUGCAUACUCACAAAUACCUCACAUGCUUGAUAUCUUUGGAACUAUUUCAAAUCUACUUCCAUAUCUUCAUUCGAUCAUCAAACUAUACAAGAAAUAUGAUCAAAUAUCUCACUACUGAAUUUAUUUUUAGAUAACACUCUUCACAUGCCCCUUCAUCUUCUCAACUCCCUCUCUCUCGUGUUCCUUUAGAUCACAGAAAAACCCAGCAACAACCGAAGUUGUUGCCUUCUUCAACCCAACCUCUCGUAUUCCUUCCAUUUUAAUGGCAGACUGACCGAUAACCACAAAACCACCGCCAUGGCCAGUUGAAGCAAGCCUCCGAUCGCAAACAGGACCGUCGACACUGCUCACUGGAGAAGAAGAACCGGCGACAACCACUAUUUACCCUCCUGUCUUCAUCUCUUUUCAACCUUCAAGCAGUUUCUCGUCAUUCCUUACUCCUCCAUUGAUCUCAAGUAACCAUAUAUCAUUCUUUUCUAUUCAGAACACAUUCAAAAAUCCCGAAGAACAGCCAACACCUGCCAUGGUGGCCGGUGGCAUGAACAGUCCCGACAAGAUAAUCCCGAUGAUGGGUUCGAUACUAAACAAACAUAUAUAGUUUCCUUAUUACGUUACCUUUCUGUUUCUAGGUGUAUAAGUCGACUCCAAGAAUCCCGGAGCAAAACCCGCUCAAAACUCGAUCUUCCCGACACUUCCCAACUCUCGCUACUAAUGUAAAUAAGAAGUCGAAGGUAUGGCGUCGGUGCUAAGGAAAUAUUAUUUCCUUACUAUUAAAUAAUUGUGAUAUGUUUCUUUUUCUUUUUAUCGUCAAAUGUUAAAGUAUUGUAAUGCUUUCUUUUUUUUUUAAAAAAAAGAAAUUUGAAAGUUUGUAAUAUAUUAAUUAUUGUACUUUAAAUGUUCAACAUAUGUGGUUGACUGUGA
Molecule: non-coding RNA, 968 nt
Organism: Lactuca sativa (garden lettuce)
Lineage: Eukaryota; Viridiplantae; Streptophyta; Magnoliopsida; Asterales; Asteraceae
Source: RefSeq, a predicted model, not a curated record